CCUACGGGAGGCAGCAGUAAGGAAUAUUGGUCAAUGGGCGGAAGCCUGAACCAGCCAUGCCGCGUGCAGGAAGACGGCCCUACGGGUUGUAAACUGCUUUUAUACGGGAAUAAACCUCGAUACGUGUAUCGAGCUGAAUGUACUGUAAGAAUAAGGAUCGGCUAACUCCGUGCCAGCAGCCGCGGUAAUACGGAGGAUCCAAGCGUUAUCCGGAUUUAUUGGGUUUAAAGGGUGCGUAGGUGGCCUGUUAAGUCAGGGGUGAAAGACGGUAGCUUAACUAUCGCAGUGCCCUUGAUACUGAUGGGCUUGAAUAAACUAGAGGUAGGCGGAAUGUGACAAGUAGCGGUGAAAUGCAUAGAUAUGUCACAGAACACCAAUUGCGAAGGCAGCUUACUAUGGUUUUAUUGACACUGAGGCACGAAAGCGUGGGGAUCAAACAGGAUUAGAUACCCUGGUAGUCCACGCCCUAAACGAUGAAUACUCGAUGUUGGCGAUAUACGUCGAGCGUCUAGACGAAGACGUAGUAGUUACCUACCGUCGGGAGGUACGGCCGGCCGAACGGGUAGGUAACGUUACGAAAGUAGUUAAGUUAGUACGGCGUUGGAGACGUUCGCCGACGGACGACCGACCGAGGGGAGGGUUAGGGAGG
Molecule: ribosomal RNA, 649 nt
Filed under: uncultured bacterium
Lineage: Bacteria
Description: bacterial SSU rRNA
Rfam family: Bacterial small subunit ribosomal RNA (bases 1-536)
Source: RNAcentral